This is a long non-coding RNA of Oreochromis aureus, 1569 nucleotides long. RefSeq lists it as uncharacterized. The transcript is spliced from 3 exons. Lineage: Eukaryota; Metazoa; Chordata; Actinopteri; Cichliformes; Cichlidae. The record is from RefSeq and is a predicted model, not a curated record.
GCUUUGGUACAAGGUCAGUUGACACGCAGUUGACAAACUUGUUAGAUUUCUUAAUUUUUUUUUUUAUUUACUUUUUUUAACUGCUCAUGUUGAAUAAACCUUAAGUUGGUUCGACAAAGUGUCCUGAUACAUGCUCAAUCAUCAAGGUAAGGAAAUCCCCCCAAAAUGGACUUCUUUAAUCUUCAGCGGCCUGAAGAAGACACUUGGAUGAGUGAUGAAACGUUUCUCCAACUGAAAAAACUACGCCCAGAUGAACAGAAUCAACUUUUUGGGACUUAAUCAGAUUCCUUUUGACCCACAGAAAGAGCAGAUGGAUUAUACCAAGGUGAUUAUACCACCUCACCAUCCUGAAGAUCAGAAGAGUGUUUGAGGAUUUAACAGAUCUCUUAAGAACAAAAGCCAGAAAAAAAUCACAGCUGAGUCUGGACAGGAUGUCACUCUGACAUGUCGAGCUCCAAAUAACAACAUAGUUGUAGAGUGGAGCAGAGCUGACCUGGGAGAUGAAUAUGUGCUUUUGUACCGUGAUGGUCACUUUCACUCAGACAACCAGCAUCCAUCAUUUAAGAACCGGGUGGAUCUGCAGGACAGACAGAUGAAGGAUGGAGACGUGUCUUUGAUUCUGAAGGAUGUGACCAUUAAUGAUACAGGAAUUUACAGAUGUCGUAUUGUUGAGGGAGUCAGACAACAUAUGAAGCUCAUCAACAACAUCACCCUGAGUGUUGUUGUUCCUCCAAGUCAGACAGGAGGAGACACAGAGGAUGGAGGGAAGGAGGCAGGAGGGAAGGAGGAUGGAUGUGUUGGACUGAUAGUUGCUCUGCCUGUCUCUGCUGUGCUUCUUGUUGCUGUUGUUGUUGGGUAUUGGAUCUACCAAAAACAUAAACAACAGCAGAGUCAGGAUUCAUUCCAGCCUGCUGUUGAACUUCAGCCUGUUUGAAAUGUCUCAGAGUUUUUCUCCUGCUGCUGUUCAGACUCUCAGUGUUGUCAGUGAACAUUCAGGUACAGACAGAUGAUCUGAUCAUCCAGCAGACAGACAUCAAACUCGUCCAGAUUUUCAUCAAACAUGUUCAGCCUGUGUUAGUGUGUCUCUGUGCUGUCUGUCAGAUACUCUGUGAACUGCAGUGUUUGUUCAUCUUCACAGUUUUUAUGGGAUUUGUUGACGAGGUGAAAAAUACAUUUACAGAAUGUCAUUGGUUCAUUCAACUGAGUGUUAAUAUCAGAAUAAUGACUAAUGACAGAAUCACUGGGCCUCAUUCAUAAACUGUGUGUACGGAUGUUUCACACAAAUCUGAUAUUCAUCAAUAUUUUUGUACUUGACACCAAUUUAGAAAUGCCUCACUGCACGAGUCACAUGUUUCCUUCCUCUGAUCUAUGAAGCUUUAUUUAACUGUUCUUUCCAUGAGAAAGACGCUUCAGCCUGUUUGUUACUGGAGGUUAAUUAUUUGCUGUUUUCUAUUCAGCUGACCAUUUAUUCUUUUUAUCUGCUUUUGGUUAGAGGCUCUUGUAAAGAGCCGCUCGCGUUCUGUGAUUAAUGUGCUUGUUAGUUCCUAAUAAAGUUCAACUUCAACUUCA